CUGGAUAUUGAAGCAGAAACCCAAAGUCGCUGGCAGUGGAGACAACGACUUGCCCCAAUAAUUGACCUCCUAGGAUAACUCAUAAGAAGAGAUAAUCUGGGCACACCAACUACAAUCAACUGUCAAGAGCUAGUUGCUGCAUUGCUAGAAAGGAAGCGAAGAGAAAUUAUUCAGCCAAAUUGUGGUUGUAGUGGUUGGCUGACAUCUUAUGUAUAUUUAGGGUAAUUAUUUCAAACAUUUUAUUCUAAAGAUAGUGUAGAACUUUUUAGGGUGUAAUAGGUGUAGAAGACAGCUUCAAUAUAGCUAUUUGAGUUUGUUAAGACAGUAGCUAAAUAAUUUUGAGUUAACUUUUGAUCAAGCAAUAGAAUUAUUUGAAUGUGAAGAAGAGCUUAGAUUAGCACAAGCCUAUGUAAAUUUAACACAAUUAGUAAAAAGAGCAAAAUUUAUUGUAUUUACUAAAAUAGCUGAUUCCAAAUAUCGUAUUUUGUGUAUGAAGCAUUAUGAAGAGUAUUAUAGCGAUAAUGAACCUUUGUGUUUUGAUGCCGUUUGUAACGAAUCAAGGACUAGAAACUCGAGCUAAUUUUUGGGUUACAUGGGCCAAUCGAACUAACAGUCCUGCCUUUUGUUUACACCUGACAGCAGCUACUGAUCCUUUUCGCACCUGUUUAGUUGGAGCUCCUGGGUAUAACCUUGGCAAUUUUAAUGGUUGUGCCACCAACAAUUGUUCUACUGCUAAAAACACUAGUCAUUGUACUGCCAUGCUAUUAGCAAGUUUAACUAAAUCUUUACCAUGGGAUCCUCAAGAACUAAAUUUUCUUAGUAGCAAGCGAUUCCACCGCAAUGAAACUGGAUGUGUGAAAUUUGGACAUUGGAACCUUACUGGUCGUAAAAUGCUUUAGCUUACCCCAAAACAACCCGAAUUAGCAGAUGCAAAGUUUUUGUGUCGACAUCAAUCCUAUGCCUAUAGUUCUCAUGUUCAUAUUUUCAUAGACGACUCUGCAAAAGCUUUACCCCCAGGGGUUUACCUUAUUUGUGGAGAUCGUGCAUGGCAAGGUAUUCCGAGAUAUGCUCAAGGAGGUCUGUGCUAUUUAGGUACUUUGGCAAUGUUAACACCUAAUGUCAAAACUUUGAGAUCUCUCAAAGCAAAUAAAGUUAAAAGAGGUAUAUCUACUUUGUCUCCU
RNAcentral lists this long non-coding RNA (1181 nucleotides) under Cyanistes caeruleus (blue tit). Its description in RNAcentral is "lncRNA (ENSCCEG00000002646.1)". Lineage: Eukaryota; Metazoa; Chordata; Aves; Passeriformes; Paridae. The record is from RNAcentral.